ACCUGAAGGAGCAAAACAGAGAAGGUAGAAGAAGAAGAGCAGCGAGACCAUAAGAGUAGACGAUGAAAACAUGAUAGCUCAUGCCUUUCAAAGUCGCUGCUUUGAAGAGAGUGUUUAAACCAACGUUUGCACAUUCCAUUAUGACCAGCGCCGUUACUGAUGUGGAGAUUCGAAGAAGUGAGUUUUUUUUUUAACACUAUAUGUAAAGAUGAGAGAAACAGAGUUUGUUCUGUUUAUUUUUUUUGGGGAAAGAAGAAGAAAAGAAGGUGAGUGGGUGAAAGUUAGAUUCAGCAAUUGUAUUGUGUAGUCUACACACACUUGAGAAAGAUGUGAAACGGACAAAAACAAAACAAAAAAAUAGGCCAUGUAACAUGCUGACAUGUUAUAUAUCUAUGUUUUA
Camelina sativa (false flax) is the source of this 400-nucleotide non-coding RNA. Lineage: Eukaryota; Viridiplantae; Streptophyta; Magnoliopsida; Brassicales; Brassicaceae. The record is from RefSeq and is a predicted model, not a curated record.